AACUUUUAACAACGGAUCACUUGGCUCUAGCAUCGAUGAAGAACGCAGCGAAUUGCGAUAAGUAAUGUGAAUUGCAGAUUUUCAGUGAAUCAUCGAAUCUUUGAACGCACCUUUCGCCCCUUGGCUAUUCCGAGGGGCAUGCCUGUUUGAGUAUCAUUAACACCUUAACUCUGCUGGUUUGCUGUGAUGAGCUUGGACUCUGGGGGUUUUGCUGGCCUGUGGUCAGCUCCCCUCAAAUGAAUCAGCCUCCCAGUGUUUGGUGGCAUAACGGGUGUGAUAAAUAUCUAUGCUCGUGGUUGUCUGCCAGGUAACCUUUGGUGACAAAGGUUUGCUGGAGCGCACAGAUGUCUCUCCUCAGCGAGGACAGCUUUUUGAACGUUCGAUCUCAAAUCAGGUAGGACUACCCGCUGAACUUAAGCAUAUCAAUAAGCGGAGGCU
Molecule: unclassified non-coding RNA, 438 nt
Filed under: uncultured Tomentella
Lineage: Eukaryota; Fungi; Basidiomycota; Agaricomycetes; Thelephorales; Thelephoraceae
Description: sequence contains ITS2
Rfam family: 5.8S ribosomal RNA (bases 1-156)
Source: RNAcentral